Molecule: long non-coding RNA, 2492 nt
Filed under: Sorghum bicolor (sorghum)
Lineage: Eukaryota; Viridiplantae; Streptophyta; Magnoliopsida; Poales; Poaceae
Description: long non-coding RNA (SBIC_LNC010576)
Source: RNAcentral
CCACUGUUUCCAUCAAUUUCAAGCCACCGCCACAAAAUUUCUCCACUUCCGGACCAUUUUGUCCUCUAAUUCGGAGUCCGUUCGUAAAAUAGCCAUAACUUUCACAUACGAACAACGAUUUGGACGUUCCAUAUAUCAAAAUCAAUCAGAAAAAAAAUUCAGAUCUAUCUAUCCCCGCUGUCCCCGCUGAGGAUGGGCUCGACAAUUUUAGAAUCCUCAAAUUCGCCACUGAAGUUUAAGUUUCACCUCCUGAAGUUUUUUCACAUUUUUCGCAAUCUUCAUAAAAUUCUACAGGCCACGUUUGUCACUUAUUUAAGGUCAAAUUUUCUAUGGUUACUUCCGUAGUGCUCCUAAGUAAAACAAAAAUAUCAAAAAAAUAAAAAGAACUGCAGGGUUUUGGAUCGUGUUGUUUGGAAGCCGGAUCGAUUUGUGUCUCGUUUCCACCAAAUCGAAAGUUAUCAGAACCUUUUGGAAGAUCGGGCCACCCUUGUUCUCAUCAAGUGGUAAUCAAAGCUACUGGUAUACCGUUAGGUUCACAUCUACCCUUAGUUUCGAGUGUUCUUGUGUUCGUCCCAUAAGUCCAGCCUUUGCAUGUUUCAGUUUCAGAGUCUGUAGUGUUGAGUUUGUGUUCUGGUCGAGGUCUUGUUAAUGGUUAGGUCUUGUUAAAGUCCAGAUCAUGUGUUUUUUCCAACUGUUUCCAUCAAUUUCUAGCCACCGCCGCAAAUUUUUCCCACUUAUAGACUGUUCUGUCCUCUAAUUCGGAGUCCAUUCUUAAAACAGCCAUAACUUUCGCAUACGAGCUCUAAUUUCGACGUUCCAUAUAUCAAAAUUGAUCAGAAAAAAAUUUCAGAUCUGUCUGUCCCCACUGUUCACGGGUUCGACAAUUUUAGAAUCCCCAAUUUUGCCUCUGAAGUUUGAGUUUUCACCUCCUGAAGUUUUUUCACAUUUUUUGCAAUGUUCAUAAAAUUCCACAGGCCACGUUUUUCACUUGUUUAAGCUUAAAUUUUCUAUGGUUACUUCUAUAGUGCUCCUAAGUAAAAGAAAAAUAUCAAAAAAACAAAAAGAAUUGCGGGGUUUUAGAUCGUGUUGUUCGGAAGCCGGAUCGAUUUGUGUAUAGUUUCCACCAAAUCUAGAGUUACCAGAACCUUUGAGAAGAUCGGGCCACAGUUGUUCUCAUCAAGUGGUAAUCAAAGCUUUAGGUAUACCGUUAGGUUCACAUCUACCCUUAGUUCGAGUGUUCUUGUGUUUGUUCCAUAAGUCCAGCGUUUGCAUAUUUCAGUUUAGAGUCCGUAUUGUUGAGUUUGUGUACUGGUCGAGGUCUUUUGCCAGUUAGGUCUUGUUAGAGUCCAGUUCGUGUGUUUUCCCCACCGUUUCUAUCAAUUUCAAGCCAUCGCCGCAAAUUUUUCCCACUUCCAGACCAUUUUGUCCUCUAAUUCGGAGUCUGUUCGUAAAACAGUCAUAACUUUCGCAUACAAACAACGAUUUCGACGUUCCAUAUAUCAAAAUUGAUCAGAAAAAAUUUUUGGAUCUGUCUGUCCCCAAUCUAGGCGGGUUCGACAAUUUUAGAAUCCCCAAAUUCGCCUCUAAAUUUCGAGUUUUCACCUCCUGAUGUUUUUUUGCCUAUUUUUUGCAAUCUUCAAAAAAUUCCACAGGCCACGUCUUUCACUUGUUUACGCUCAAAUUUUCUGCGGUUACUUCUGUAGUGCUCCUAAGUAAAAGAAAAAUAUAAAAAAAAUAAAAAGAAUUGCAGGGUUUUGGAUCGUGUUGUUCGGAAAUCGGAUCGAUUUGUGUCUCGUUUCCACCAAAUCGAGAGUUACAUGAACCUUUUAGAAGAUUGGGCCACCCUUGUUCUCAUCAAGUGGUAAUCAAAGCUUCUGGUAUACCGUUAGGUUCACAUCUAUCCUUAGUUUUGAGUGUUCUUGUGUUCGUCCCAUAAGUCUAGCCUUUGCACAUUUCAGUUUCACAGUUCGUAGUGUUGAGUUUGUGUCCUAGUCGAAAUCUUGUAGCUGGUUAGGUCUUGUUAGAGUCCAGUUCGUGUGUUUUUCUCCACCGUUUCUAUCAAUUUCUAGCCACCGCCGCAAUUUUUUCCCACUUCGAUACCGUUUUGUCCUCUAAUUCGUAGUCCGUUUGUAAAACAGCCACAACUUUCGUAUAUGAACUCCGAUUUCGAUGUUCCAUCUAUCAAAAUCGAUGAGAAAAAAAUUUCGAAUGUGUCUGUCCCCAUUGUAUGCGGGUUCAACAAUUUUAGAAUCCCCAAAUUUGCCUCUGAAGUUUGAGUUUUCACCUUCUGAAGUUUUUUUCACAUUUUUGCAAUCUUCAUAAAAUUCCACAGGCCACGUCUUUCACUUGUUUAAGCUCAAAUUUCUGUGGUUACUUCUGUAGUGCUCCUAAGUAAAAGAAAAAUAUCACAAAAAUAAAAAGAAUUGUAGGAUUUUGGAUCAUGUUGUUCGGAAGCCGAAUCGAUUUGUGUCUCGUUUCCACCAAAUCGAGAG